This 442-nucleotide ribosomal RNA is filed under the name uncultured bacterium. RNAcentral's name for it is "partial 16S ribosomal RNA". It matches the Rfam family "Bacterial small subunit ribosomal RNA", at positions 338 to 795 of the family's 1533-position model. The record is from RNAcentral.
CCUACGGGAGGCAGCAGUGGGGAAUAUUGGGCAAUGGGCGCAAGCCUGACCCAGCAACGCCGCGUGAAGGAAGAAGGCUUUCGGGUUGUAAACUUCUUUUCUCAGGGACGAAGCAAGUGAGAGUACCCGAAGAAAAAGCAUCGGCUAACUCCGUGCCAGCAGCCGCGGUAAUACGGAGGAUGCGAGCGUUAUCCGGAUUUAUUGGGUUUAAAGGGUGCGUAGGCGGACUGGAAAGUCAGCGGUAAAAUCGAGAGGCUCAACCUCUUUCCGCCGUUGAAACUGUCGGUCUUGAGUGGGCGAGAAGUAUGCGGAAUGCGUGGUGUAGCGGUGAAAUGCAUAGAUAUCACGCAGAACUCCGAUUGCGAAGGCAGCAUACCGGCGCCCGACUGACGCUGAGGCACGAAAGCGUGGGUAUCGAACAGGAUUAGAUACCCUAGUAGUC